RNAcentral lists this ribosomal RNA (355 nucleotides) under uncultured Actinomycetales bacterium. RNAcentral's name for it is "bacterial SSU rRNA". It matches the Rfam family "Bacterial small subunit ribosomal RNA", at positions 1034 to 1388 of the family's 1533-position model. The record is from RNAcentral. Lineage: Bacteria; Bacillati; Actinomycetota; Actinomycetes; Actinomycetales.
ACAGGUGGUGCAUGGCUGUCGUCAGCUCGUGUCGUGAGAUGUUGGGUUAAGUCCCGCAACGAGCGCAACCCUUGUCCUAUGUUGCCAGCACGUAAUGGUGGGGACUCGUAGGAGACUGCCGGGGUCAACUCGGAGGAAGGUGGGGACGACGUCAAGUCAUCAUGCCCCUUAUGUCCAGGGCUGCAAACAUGCUACAAUGGCCGGUACAAAGGGCUGCUAUACCGCGAGGUUGAGCGAAUCCCAAAAGCCGGUCUCAGUUCGGAUUGGAGUCUGCAACUCGACUCCAUGAAGUCGGAGUCGCUAGUAAUCCCGGAUCAGCAACGCCGGGGUGAAUACGUUCCCGGGCCUUGUACAC